GGCCCCGUAGCUCAGCAGGAUAGAGCGCAGGAUUCCUAAUCCUGAGGCCACUGGUUCGAAUCCAGUCGGGGUCACCA
This 77-nucleotide transfer RNA is filed under the name Pelagibacterium sp. SCN 63-126. RNAcentral's name for it is "tRNA-Arg". It matches the Rfam family "tRNA". Rfam says of the family: Transfer RNA (tRNA) molecules are approximately 80 nucleotides in length. Their secondary structure includes four short double-helical elements and three loops (D, anti-codon, and T loops). The record is from RNAcentral. Lineage: Bacteria; Pseudomonadati; Pseudomonadota; Alphaproteobacteria; Hyphomicrobiales; Devosiaceae. RNAcentral also lists the same sequence under 3 other names.